RNAcentral lists this ribosomal RNA (465 nucleotides) under uncultured bacterium. Its description in RNAcentral is "partial 16S ribosomal RNA". It matches the Rfam family "Bacterial small subunit ribosomal RNA", at positions 28 to 507 of the family's 1533-position model. The record is from RNAcentral.
GACGAACGCUGGCGGCGUGCUUAACACAUGCAAGUCGAACGCUGAACCCGCUUCGGUGGGGGAUGAGUGGCGAACGGGUGAGUAACACGUGGGCAACCUGCCCCCGGCUCUGGGAUAACUCCAAGAAAAUGGGGCUAAUACCGGAUGUGACCGCUGGCCGCAUGGUCUGGUGGUGGAACGGGUUUCCGGCUGGGGAUGGGCCCGCGGCCUAUCAGCUUGUUGGUGGGGUAGUGGACUACCAAGGCGAAGAGGGGUAGCCGGCCUGAGAGGAGGACCGACCACGCUGCGACUGGGACACGGCCCAGCAUCCUACGGGAGGCAGCAGUGGGGAACAUUGCGCAAUGGGCGGAAGCCUGACGCAGCGACGCCGCGAGGGGGAUGACGGCCUUCGUGUUGUAAACCUCUUUCAGCAGGGACGAAGCGCAAGUGACGGUACCUGCAGAAGAAGCACCGGCCAACUACGUG